RNAcentral lists this ribosomal RNA (611 nucleotides) under Winogradskyella sp. RNAcentral's name for it is "bacterial SSU rRNA". It matches the Rfam family "Bacterial small subunit ribosomal RNA", at positions 62 to 669 of the family's 1533-position model. The record is from RNAcentral. Lineage: Bacteria; Pseudomonadati; Bacteroidota; Flavobacteriia; Flavobacteriales; Flavobacteriaceae.
UCGACGGUAACAUUGAUGCUUGCAUCAGAUGACGAGUGGCGCACGGGUGAGUAACGCGUAUACAAUCUACCUUUUACAGGGGGAUAGCCUUUAGAAAUGAAGAUUAAUAUCCCAUAGUAAGUAGUUUUGGCAUCAAGACAACUUUAAAGUUUCGGCGGUAAAAGAUGAGUAUGCGUUCUAUUAGUUAGUUGGUAAGGUAACGGCUUACCAAGACCACGAUAGAUAGGGGCCCUGAGAGGGGGAUCCCCCACACUGGUACUGAGACACGGACCAGACUCCUACGGGAGGCAGCAGUGAGGAAUAUUGGACAAUGGGCGCGAGCCUGAUCCAGCCAUGCCGCGUGCAGGAAGACUGCCCUAUGGGUUGUAAACUGCUUUUAUACAGGAAGAAACCUUUUCACGUGUGAAAAGCUGACGGUACUGUAAGAAUAAGGAUCGGCUAACUCCGUGCCAGCAGCCGCGGUAAUACGGAGGAUCCAAGCGUUAUCCGGAAUCAUUGGGUUUAAAGGGUCCGUAGGUGGAUAAUUAAGUCAGGGGUGAAAGUUUGCAGCUCAACUGUAAAAUUGCCUUUGAUACUGGUUAUCUUGAAUUAUUGUGAAGUGGUUAGAAUAU